RNAcentral lists this non-coding RNA (24 nucleotides) under Arabidopsis thaliana (thale cress). The record is from RNAcentral. Lineage: Eukaryota; Viridiplantae; Streptophyta; Magnoliopsida; Brassicales; Brassicaceae.
AGAACGCCACGAGAUUGCAGUUCC